RNAcentral lists this ribosomal RNA (506 nucleotides) under uncultured bacterium. RNAcentral's name for it is "partial 16S ribosomal RNA". It matches the Rfam family "Bacterial small subunit ribosomal RNA", at positions 28 to 523 of the family's 1533-position model. The record is from RNAcentral.
GAUGAACGCUAGCUACAGGCUUAACACAUGCAAGUCGAGGGGUAACGAGAGGAAAGCUUGCUUUCCUUGUCGACGACCGGCGCACGGGUGAGUAACGCGUAUCCAACCUGCCCCCAACUAGGGAAUAACCUUGCGAAAGUAAGACUAAUACCCUAUAAUUUCCUCAGAUGUCAUCUGACGAGGAAUAAAGAUUUAUCGGUUGUGGAUGGGGAUGCGUCUGAUUAGCUUGCUGGCGGGGUAACGGCCCACCAAGGCAACGAUCAGUAGGGGUUCUGAGAGGAAGGUCCCCCACAUUGGAACUGAGACCCGGUCCAAACUCCUACGGGAGGCAGCAGUGAGGAAUAUUGGUCAAUGGGCGGAAGCUUGAACCAGCCAAGUAGCGUGCAGGAUGACGGCCCUAUGGGUUGUAAACUGCUUUUAUACAGGAAUAAAGUUAGCCACGUGUGGUUAUUUGUAGGUACUGUAUGAAUAAGGACCGGCUAAUUCCGUGCCAGCCGCCGCCGUAA